Molecule: non-coding RNA, 103 nt
Organism: Acanthosepion pharaonis
Lineage: Eukaryota; Metazoa; Mollusca; Cephalopoda; Sepiida; Sepiidae
Source: the annotation of a GenBank genome assembly
ACAUUGAAACACCGGUUCCCCAUACGAUCAUCAAAGUUAAGCAAUGUCAAGUUUGGUUAGUACCUAGAUGAGUGACCACUUGGGAAUAGCAUGGGGCUGUAAG